RNAcentral lists this ribosomal RNA (279 nucleotides) under uncultured bacterium. Its description in RNAcentral is "partial 16S ribosomal RNA". It matches the Rfam family "Bacterial small subunit ribosomal RNA", at positions 506 to 784 of the family's 1533-position model. The record is from RNAcentral.
UGCCAGCAGCCGCGGUAAUACUGAAGGUGCAAGCGUUAAUCGGAAUCACUGGGCUUAAAGGGUGCGUAGGCGGCCAGGUAAGUUGGGUGUGAAAUCCCUCGGCUCAACCGAGGAACUGCGCCCAAAACUACUUGGCUUGAGGGAGAUAGAGGUGAGCGGAACUUAGGGUGGAGCGGUGAAAUGCGUUGAUAUCCUAAGGAACACCGGUGGCGAAAGCGGCUCACUGGAUCUCUUCUGACGCUGAGGCACGAAAGCUAGGGUAGCGAACGGGAUUAGAUA